Long non-coding RNA from Sebastes umbrosus (honeycomb rockfish), 290 nucleotides. RefSeq lists it as uncharacterized. The record is from RefSeq and is a predicted model, not a curated record. The transcript is spliced from 3 exons. Lineage: Eukaryota; Metazoa; Chordata; Actinopteri; Perciformes; Sebastidae.
CUUCACCCAUAUUAUCUGCCAUGUUACAGCCUUCGUGUACAAAGGAAACAUGUGGUUUUGAUAGUAUCUGUAAGAUCUUGGUUUGUCGCAAUGGAGUGAGAGUGAAACACGCUGAUGUAACGUAGGCUACAGUACUAUGGGAAGUGAGAAUUUGGAGUGGGUGGUGCAUGACGAUAUGACCCACUUUCUCCACUAUUUUAGCCAGUGCAGCUGCAUAUCUUACACAGGGACUAGCUCUCUGCUCUGGUGUGUCCAGUAAAAUACUGCAUUAUUACAGAACAUGUCGCUCC